UGGGGAAUUUUGGACAAUGGGGGCAACCUGAUCCAGCAAUGCCGCGUGUGUGAAGAAGGCCUUCGGGUUGUAAAGCACUUUUGUCCGGAAAGAAAACGUCGUGGUUAAUACCCGUGGCGGCUGACGGUACCGGAAGAAUAAGCACCGGCUAACUACGUGCCAGCAGCCGCGGUAAUACGUAGGGUGCAAGCGUUAAUCGGAAUUACUGGGCGUAAAGCGUGCGCAGGCGGUCCGCUAAGACAGAUGUGAAAUCCCCGGGCUUAACCUGGGAACUGCAUUUGUGACUGGCGGGCUAGAGUAUGGCAGAGGGGGGUAGAAUUCCACGUNUAGGCAGUGAAAUGCGUAGAGAUGUGGAGGAAUACCGAUGGCGAAGGCAGCCCCCUGGGCCAAUACUGACGCU
RNAcentral lists this ribosomal RNA (400 nucleotides) under uncultured bacterium. RNAcentral describes it as "partial 16S ribosomal RNA". It matches the Rfam family "Bacterial small subunit ribosomal RNA", at positions 355 to 747 of the family's 1533-position model. The record is from RNAcentral.